UACGUAGGGCGCGAGCGUUAUCCGGAAUUAUUGGGCGUAAAGAGCUCGUAGGCGGUUUGUCACGUCUGCUGUGAAAACUGGAGGCUCAACCUCCAGCCUGCAGUGGGUACGGGCAGACUAGAGUGCGGUAGGGGAGAUUGGAAUUCCUGGUGUAGCGGUGGAAUGCGCAGAUAUCAGGAGGAACACCGAUGGCGAAGGCAGAUCUCUGGGCCGUAACUGACGCUGAGGAGCGAAAGCAUGGGGAGCGAACAGG
RNAcentral lists this ribosomal RNA (253 nucleotides) under uncultured bacterium. RNAcentral's name for it is "partial 16S ribosomal RNA". It matches the Rfam family "Bacterial small subunit ribosomal RNA", at positions 524 to 776 of the family's 1533-position model. The record is from RNAcentral.